Long non-coding RNA from Acinonyx jubatus (cheetah), 1814 nucleotides. RefSeq lists it as uncharacterized. Lineage: Eukaryota; Metazoa; Chordata; Mammalia; Carnivora; Felidae. The record is from RefSeq and is a predicted model, not a curated record. The transcript has 4 exons.
CUUCACCGAUCACCGGACGCUGUCUUCUGAAGAGUUGAUUCGAUAAGCGAGAAUAUAGAGCUUGCAGAAAUCUUCCUUCUUUCAGAGGCCUGAGACAUCUGAACCCAGUUCUCUCUCCGUCGAUGCCAGCUCCUCUUACCCACCCGUCAUCUGCAUCUUCUAGAUUGAAUUAUUGACUUUGUAUAACGUGCUUGGUAUCAGAAAUACAAAAAAAAAUAAGGUAAGUUUUCAAUAAAUAUUUAUAGAGAGUUCUGUGGUCAAAACUGUGUUUAAAUUUGUUAAUUUUGGUUAAUUGGGGAAAUAGGGAGACAAUAUCUUUUAGAUUCAAUUUUAACUUUUCUAAAACAAAAUAAUUAACGAAGACCCUACAUAUACAAAACCAAAUGCUUGCUGUACUAACUGUUUAAACGUUAAUAUUCUGCUAUAGUGUUGCCCCUUACCUGUAGGGGAUUCAUUCCAAGACCCCCCAGGGAAUGCCUGAAACCCAGCCUUAUGUGCCCUGUGUUUUUUCCGAUGCAUACAUAUCUAUGACAAAGUUUAAUUUAUAAAUCAGGCAUCGUCAGAGCUUAACAAUAACUAAUAAUAAGAGAGAACAAUUAUAGCAAUACACUGUAAUAAAAGUUGUGUGCAUGUGGUCUUUAUUUCUCUCUCAAAAUAUGUGAUUGUUACUACACUCAUCCUUCUUCUUGGGAUGAUGCGAGCUGAUAAAUGCCCACAUGAUGAGACGAAGCGCGAUGAAUGAUGUAGGCACCAUAAUGUAGCAUUGACCGGACAGUACAUCAGGUGGAUUAGCAUCUGCUUCUGGACCACAGUCAACCGCAGGUAACUGAAACCAUGGAAAGCAAAACCAAGAAAACCAAGAAUCAUUUCUGCUAAUGAAAGCCAGAAGUCUAUGAUGGAGGGCUCACAGUAGAUAUUCCCAGUGGCUGAGGGAGAUAAUGGCUAGAGUAAGAGUGCCGGCACCAACCCCUGUGAAAAGAGCACACAGAAUCGCUCUGGUUUUGAGAUACAGGUAAAGAACAAAUCUGGACUGCACUAUUUUUAACUACUUGCAGAAACUGGAGGUGAAAGCAUACUCAACACCGAAGAGGUUUUGCAUUGCAGUGAAGAUGUGUGAAGGUUGUUGCAGGUGACAGAUCCACAGGGCUUUGGCCGAAGUAGAUACAAGAUAAUCAAAUGUUAAAAAAAAUAAGGUAGAUAAGCACAUAAUAAAACAAAAGAACACACCUGAAGGAAAUGAACAAUGUUUGGCCCCACAGAAGAAAGCAUGGGAACACUGCAGUGAGACUGUAGUUUCUCAAUUUCCUGCUGAUGAAGCAGACAGUGCUAGUUGCAAAUUUCAUGCACGUAAAUGCACAAACCGACCCUGCCCUUUCUAGGUCUUUGAUGUAGUGAAUUCUGUCUAUGUAACCGAUUAUUUCUAUUUAGUCUUAGGACUUGGGUUAGUCCCAAAUCCUCUGACAAAUAAUAAUAAUAAAAUAAUGAUAUUAAUAACAAUAAUAGGUUCUAAAUUGAUCACCUAUGCCAGGUACUCUUGACAUUGAUCUGGGCGGCACCUGGGUGGCUCAGCUGGGUUAAGCAGUGAUUCGUGAUUUCAGCUCAGGUCAUGAUCUCAUGGUUCGUGAGUCUGAGCCCCAUGCCGGGUUCUGCGAUGGCCAGUCAGAGCCUGUUUGGAAUCUUCUCUCUUCUUCUCUCUCUGCCCCUCCCCUGCCCACACUCACUGGCAAAAUAAAUAAAUAAACUGUAAAAAAAAAAUAAUCUGAAAGUUAUCCUUAUCUCACUUUUAGUGGUGCAAAAAAUAAUUUUCAAGGAGA